GAUGAACGCUGGCGGCGUGCUUAACACAUGCAAGUCGAACGGGGUUUAAGAAGGAAGCUUGCUUUCAUUUUAAACCUAGUGGCGGACGGGUGAGUAACGCGUGAGGAACCUGCCCUUCAGUGGGGAACAACAACUAGAAAUGGUUGCUAAUACCGCAUAAUGUCGGAGAGCCGCAUGACAUUCCGACCAAAGGAUUUAUUCGCUGAAGGAUGGCCUCGCGUCCGAUUAGGCAGUUGGUGAGGUAACGGCCCACCAAACCUACGAUCGGUAGCCGAACUGAGAGGUUGAUCGGCCACAUUGGGACUGAGACACGGCCCAGACUCCUACGGGAGGCAGCAGUGGGGAAUAUUGGGCAAUGGGCGAAAGCCUGACCCAGCAACGCCGCGUGAAGGAUGACGGUCUUCGGAUUGUAAACUUCUUUAAUUGGGGAAGAACAAAAUGAC
RNAcentral lists this ribosomal RNA (443 nucleotides) under bacterium NC2018. RNAcentral describes it as "bacterial SSU rRNA". It matches the Rfam family "Bacterial small subunit ribosomal RNA", at positions 28 to 458 of the family's 1533-position model. The record is from RNAcentral.